UUAAGCGACUAAGCGUACACGGUGGAUGCCCUGGCAGUCAGAGGCGAUGAAGGACGUGCUAAUCUGCGAUAAGCGUCGGUAAGGUGAUAUGAACCGUUAUAACCGGCGAUUUCCGAAUGGGGAAACCCAGUGUGUUUCGACACACUAUCAUUAACUGAAUCCAUAGGUUAAUGAGGCGAACCGGGGGAACUGAAACAUCUAAGUACCCCGAGGAAAAGAAAUCAACCGAGAUUCCCCCAGUAGCGGCGAGCGAACGGGGAGCAGCCCAGAGCCUGAAUCAGUGUGUGUGUUAGUGGAAGCGUCUGGAAAGGCGCGCGAUACAGGGUGACAGCCCCGUACACAAAAAUGCACAUGCUGUGAGCUCGAUGAGUAGGGCGGGACACGUGGUAUCCUGUCUGAAUAUGGGGGGACCAUCCUCCAAGGCUAAAUACUCCUGACUGACCGAUAGUGAACCAGUACCGUGAGGGAAAGGCGAAAAGAACCCCGGCGAGGGGAGUGAAAAAGAACCUGAAACCGUGUACGUACAAGCAGUGGGAGCACAGAGCAAUCUGUGUGACUGCGUACCUUUUGUAUAAUGGGUCAGCGACUUAUAUUCUGUAGCAAGGUUAACCGAAUAGGGGAGCCGAAGGGAAACCGAGUCUUAACUGGGCGUUAAGUUGCAGGGUAUAGACCCGAAACCCGGUGAUCUAGCCAUGGGCAGGUUGAAGGUUGGGUAACACUAACUGGAGGACCGAACCGACUAAUGUUGAAAAAUUAGCGGAUGACUUGUGGCUGGGGGUGAAAGGCCAAUCAAACCGGGAGAUAGCUGGUUCUCCCCGAAAGCUAUUUAGGUAGCGCCUCGUGAAUUCAUCUCCGGGGGUAGAGCACUGUUUCGGCAAGGGGGUCAUCCCGACUUACCAACCCGAUGCAAACUACGAAUACCGGAGAAUGUUAUCACGGGAGACACACGGCGGGUGCUAACGUCCGUCGUGAAGAGGGAAACAACCCAGACCGCCAGCUAAGGUCCCAAAGUCAUGGUUAAGUGGGAAACGAUGUGGGAAGGCCCAGACAGCCAGGAUGUUGGCUUAGAAGCAGCCAUCAUUUAAAGAAAGCGUAAUAGCUCACUGGUCGAGUCGGCCUGCGCGGAAGAUGUAACGGGGCUAAACCAUGCACCGAAGCUGCGGCAGCGACGCUGAUGCGUUGUUGGGUAGGGGAGCGUUCUGUAAGCCUGCGAAGGUGUGCUGUGAGGCAUGCUGGAGGUAUCAGAAGUGCGAAUGCUGACAUAAGUAACGAUAAAGCGGGUGAAAAGCCCGCUCGCCGGAAGACCAAGGGUUCCUGUCCAACGUUAAUCGGGGCAGGGUGAGUCGACCCCUAAGGCGAGGCCGAAAGGCGUAGUCGAUGGGAAACAGAUUAAUAUUCCUGUACUUGGUGUUACUGCGAAGGGGGGACGGAGAAGGCUAUGUUGGCCGGGCGACGGUUGUCCCGGUUUAAGCGUGUAGGCUGGUUUUCCAGGCAAAUCCGGAAAAUCAAGGCUGAGGCGUGAUGACGAGGCACUACGGUGCUGAAGCAACAAAUGCCCUGCUUCCAGGAAAAGCCUCUAAGCAUCAGGUAACAUCAAAUCGUACCCCAAACCGACACAGGUGGUCAGGUAGAGAAUACCAAGGCGCUUGAGAGAACUCGGGUGAAGGAACUAGGCAAAAUGGUGCCGUAACUUCGGGAGAAGGCACGCUGAUAUGUAGGUGAAGUCCCUCGCGGAUGGAGCUGAAAUCAGUCGAAGAUACCAGCUGGCUGCAACUGUUUAUUAAAAACACAGCACUGUGCAAACACGAAAGUGGACGUAUACGGUGUGACGCCUGCCCGGUGCCGGAAGGUUAAUUGAUGGGGUUAGCGCAAGCGAAGCUCUUGAUCGAAGCCCCGGUAAACGGCGGCCGUAACUAUAACGGUCCUAAGGUAGCGAAAUUCCUUGUCGGGUAAGUUCCGACCUGCACGAAUGGCGUAAUGAUGGCCAGGCUGUCUCCACCCGAGACUCAGUGAAAUUGAACUCGCUGUGAAGAUGCAGUGUACCCGCGGCAAGACGGAAAGACCCCGUGAACCUUUACUAUAGCUUGACACUGAACAUUGAGCCUUGAUGUGUAGGAUAGGUGGGAGGCUUUGAAGUGUGGACGCCAGUCUGCAUGGAGCCGACCUUGAAAUACCACCCUUUAAUGUUUGAUGUUCUAACGUGGACCCGUAAUCCGGGUUGCGGACAGUGUCUGGUGGGUAGUUUGACUGGGGCGGUCUCCUCCUAAAGAGUAACGGAGGAGCACGAAGGUUGGCUAAUCCUGGUCGGACAUCAGGAGGUUAGUGCAAUGGCAUAAGCCAGCUUGACUGCGAGCGUGACGGCGCGAGCAGGUGCGAAAGCAGGUCAUAGUGAUCCGGUGGUUCUGAAUGGAAGGGCCAUCGCUCAACGGAUAAAAGGUACUCCGGGGAUAACAGGCUGAUACCGCCCAAGAGUUCAUAUCGACGGCGGUGUUUGGCACCUCGAUGUCGGCUCAUCACAUCCUGGGGCUGAAGUAGGUCCCAAGGGUAUGGCUGUUCGCCAUUUAAAGUGGUACGCGAGCUGGGUUUAGAACGUCGUGAGACAGUUCGGUCCCUAUCUGCCGUGGGCGCUGGAGAAUUGAGGGGGGCUGCUCCUAGUACGAGAGGACCGGAGUGGACGCAUCACUGGUGUUCGGGUUGUCAUGCCAAUGGCACUGCCCGGUAGCUAAAUGCGGAAGAGAUAAGUGCUGAAAGCAUCUAAGCACGAAACUUGCCCCGAGAUGAGUUCUCCCUGACUCCUUGAGAGUCCUGAAGGAACGUUGAAGACGACGACGUUGAUAGGCCGGGUGUGUAAGCGCAGCGAUGCGUUGAGCUAACCGGUACUAAUGAACCGUGAGGCUUAACCUU
Molecule: ribosomal RNA, 2904 nt
Filed under: Escherichia coli
Lineage: Bacteria; Pseudomonadati; Pseudomonadota; Gammaproteobacteria; Enterobacterales; Enterobacteriaceae
Description: bacterial LSU rRNA
Rfam family: Bacterial large subunit ribosomal RNA
Source: RNAcentral